UGAGGAAUAUUGGUCAAUGGGGGCAACCCUGAACCAGCCAAGUCGCGUGAAGGAUGAAGGUCUUAUGGAUUGUAAACUUCUUUUACACGUGAAUAAAGUGGGGGACGUGUCCCCCUUUGCAUGUACCGUGUGAAUAAGGAUCGGCUAACUCCGUGCCAGCAGCCGCGGUAAUACGGAGGAUCCGAGCGUUAUCCGGAUUUAUUGGGUUUAAAGGGUGCGCAGGCGGGAUGUUAAGUCGGCGGUGAAAUUUUGCAGCUCAACUGUAAAAGUGCCUUCGAUACUGGCCUCCUUGAGUGUGGAUGAAGUAGGCGGAAUUUGUGGUGUAGCGGUGAAAUGCUUAGAUAUCACGAGGAACUCCGAUUGCGCAGGCAGCUUACUAAGCCACAACUGACGCUCAUGCACGAAGGCGUGGGGAUCAAACA
Molecule: ribosomal RNA, 422 nt
Filed under: uncultured bacterium
Lineage: Bacteria
Description: bacterial SSU rRNA
Rfam family: Bacterial small subunit ribosomal RNA
Source: RNAcentral